This 398-nucleotide ribosomal RNA is filed under the name uncultured bacterium. Its description in RNAcentral is "bacterial SSU rRNA". It matches the Rfam family "Bacterial small subunit ribosomal RNA", at positions 29 to 452 of the family's 1533-position model. The record is from RNAcentral.
AGCGAACGCUGGCGGCAGGCUUAACACAUGCAAGUCGAGCGGGCGUAGCAAUACGUCAGCGGCAGACGGGUGAGUAACGCGUGGGAACAUACCUUUUGGUUCGGAACAACACAGGGAAACUUGUGCUAAUACCGGAUAAGCCCUUACGGGGAAAGAUUUAUCGCCGAAAGAUUGGCCCGCGUCUGAUUAGCUAGUUGGUGAGGUAACGGCUCACCAAGGCGACGAUCAGUAGCNGGUCUGAGAGGAUGAUCAGCCACAUUGGGACUGAGACACGGCCCAAACUCCUACGGGAGGCAGCAGUGGGGAAUAUUGGACAAUGGGCGAAAGCCUGAUCAGCCAUGCCGCGUGAGUGAUGAAGGCCCUAGGGUUGUAAAGCUCUUUUGUGCGGGGAAGAUAAU